This 279-nucleotide unclassified non-coding RNA is filed under the name plant metagenome. RNAcentral describes it as "partial contains small subunit ribosomal RNA, internal transcribed spacer 1, and 5.8S ribosomal RNA". The record is from RNAcentral.
UUUCCGUAGGUGAACCUGCGGAAGGAUCAUUAUCGAGUUAGGGUCUCUGGCCCGACCUCCAACCCUGUGUCUACUAUACCAUGUUGCUUUGGCGGGCCCGCGUUCGUCGCCGCCGAGGGGUUGACCCCCCUGGGCCAGUGCCCGCCGAUAGCCCCCUCUUAAACUCUUGAUCAACCGUGAAUGUCUGAGUAAAAAACAAAUCAAUCACAAAACUUUGAACAACGGAUGUCUUGGUUCGAGCAUCCAUGAAGAACUCAGCAGCUAGAAAGAGCACACGGC